Molecule: ribosomal RNA, 253 nt
Filed under: uncultured bacterium
Lineage: Bacteria
Description: partial 16S ribosomal RNA
Rfam family: Bacterial small subunit ribosomal RNA
Source: RNAcentral
UACGUAGGUGGCAAGCGUUGUCCGGAUUUACUGGGCGUAAAGAGCGCGCAGGCGGUCGGAUAAGUCGAAUGUGAAAGCCCCCGGCUCAACUGGGGAACUGCACAGGAGACUGCUUGGCUUGAGUUCGGGAGAGGGAAGCGGAAUUCCGGGUGUAGCGGUGAAAUGCGUAGAUAUCCGGAGGAACACCGGUGGCGAAGGCGGCUUCCUGGACCGACACUGACGCUGAGGCGCGAAAGCCAGGGGAGCAAACGGG